RNAcentral lists this ribosomal RNA (468 nucleotides) under uncultured bacterium. Its description in RNAcentral is "partial 16S ribosomal RNA". It matches the Rfam family "Bacterial small subunit ribosomal RNA", at positions 28 to 507 of the family's 1533-position model. The record is from RNAcentral.
GACGAACGCUGGCGGCGUGCUUAACACAUGCAAGUCGAACGGAAAGGCCCUGCUUUUGUGGGGUGCUCGAGUGGCGAACGGGUGAGUGACACGUGAGUAACCUGCCCUUGACUUUGGGAUAACUUCAGGAAACUGGGGCUAAUACCGGAUAGGAGCUCCUGCUGCAUGGUGGGGGUUGGAAAGUUUCGGCGGUUGGGGAUGGACUCGCGGCUUAUCAGCUUGUUUGGGGGGUAGUGGCUUACCAAGGCUUUGACGGGUAGCCGGCCUGAGAGGGUGACCGGCCACAUUGGGACUGAGAUACGGCCCAGACUCCUACGGGAGGCAGCAGUGGGGAAUAUUGCACAAUGGGCGGAAGCCUGAUGCAGCAACGCCGCGUGCGGGAUGACGGCCUUCGGGUUGUAAACCGCUUUCGCCGGUGACGAAGCGUGAGUGACGGUAAUGGGUAAAGAAGCACCGGCUAACUACGUG